RNAcentral lists this long non-coding RNA (1283 nucleotides) under Homo sapiens (human). RNAcentral describes it as "PREDICTED lncRNA (TCONS_00164504)". The record is from RNAcentral. Lineage: Eukaryota; Metazoa; Chordata; Mammalia; Primates; Hominidae.
CAGAGAGCAGCUCCAUGUUUUGUGCAUUCUCAAAACUGAGGAAACUGAAGAAGAUAACAAAACAGCUAAAAAGCCCUUGAGGAUGGAGUUUCACUCUUAUCACCCAGGCUGGAGUGCAAUAGCGCAAUCUUGGCUCACUGCAACCUCUGCCUCCUGGGUUCAAGCGAUUCUCCUGGCUGGCCCAGAGUGGUGGCAGUGGAGGCAGGGAGAAGUGUUCACAUUCUGGGUACCUUUGAAGGCCAGCUGCUACCCACCUCCUCGGCUCUGCAAGACACUCCCAGACCUGCCUGUGUCCUAUUCGUCUCCCCUCUGCAGACAGAGGCUCUCCUCAAGACUUUGUUCUGCAAAACCCCCACCACUACCCCUAAGAAGGCAAAAGGGCAACUGAGGCAUGAAGCAGGGGGCACGCACGGGGGAGUCCCACAUUCCUGAUCUGACUCCCCAGGCAUAUUGUGCUGCUUCUGGGGAGCUUGCCACGGCCUGCCUCCUCCCGGGUUUGGGCCCUUGUUUAUAUCUGUUCACCUGUGCUUUCCCCUUCCCUGCAGAACAGCGAUCAGAACCUGUUCAUAUCUGGGACCCCACAGUCCUUACCUAGGGCAGCUAGGUGUUCCCUGGCUGAAUGAAGGGAUGUGGAGUUUCCUGCUGGGUGGUGGGUAGGACAGGCUUGGAAGACAGGGGUGGAAUUAAGUAAGGAAGCUCCAGAAGGACACAGGGCCAUAGAUACUCUCCCACCCAACUCCAGGCCACAUCAGGAACACCUGCUAACAUUUCCUGAACACUCUUUUUGAGCCAGGCCCUGUGUAUUUUAGAUGCGGUUUCAUUUGAUCUUCACAGGAGCCCUAUGAGGUAGGCAUCCCCAACCCCACUUUAUAGAUGCAAACAACUAAGGCACAGAGAAGUUAUUUGUUCAAGGUCACAUGGCUACUAAGCAACAAAACUAGGAUGCAAAAGCAGAUUUGUUCGACCCCACAUGCUGUGUGCUUUGCUACAAUCCACACUGUCUCCCAGGCCCCACAGAGCCCCAAAUGCAUGUGUCUCACCAGUUUCACCUGUGGCCACUGUGCUCAGCUAUCCUCAUCCUAAGACAAUUGUAGUUAUGGUUAAGGAAAGCCUUUUAUUAAAUUGCCAAACACCAGGGAUGAUGAUUACUAAUGAUAACAUGGUCAACAGCUCUCCUCCCGGUGAGCCUGGUGUUUCCAUCAUUGCCUUUCCACCCCCAGUAGAAUCCUCUAUUUGCGAUCCUCCCAGCCACACCUUCAGGUUGGUAGUGCAUGUGCCCUCCC